UAAGGUGCAUCUAGUGCAGUUAGUGACGUAGCGUAGAAUCUACUGCCCUAAAUGCUCCUUCUGGC
Molecule: microRNA precursor, 65 nt
Filed under: Gallus gallus (chicken)
Lineage: Eukaryota; Metazoa; Chordata; Aves; Galliformes; Phasianidae
Description: Gga-Mir-17-P2c_pre stem-loop
Rfam family: mir-17 microRNA precursor family
About the family: This family represents the microRNA (miRNA) precursor mir-17, family, which includes mir-20, mir-91, and mir-103. miRNAs are transcribed as ~70nt precursors (modelled here) and subsequently processed by the Dicer enzyme to give a ~22nt product. In this case the mature sequence comes from the 3' arm of the precursor. The extents of the hairpin precursors are not generally known and are estimated based on hairpin prediction.
Source: RNAcentral